CUCUUUCCAAAAUGGACAAGUCCCUCUUGCUGGAACUCCCCAUCCUGCUCUGCUGCUUUAGGGGUGAGUCCCUAGGGUUGACAGCUGGUAAGAGUCCUGAAUUUAGGAACAGGUGAGAGCACCCAUGACAGAGGCCUUCUCAUGGGAGUCCUAUGGUAACUGAAGCAUCAUGAGCUUCUGCUCUAAUGUUAUGCCUUAUACCAGGGAUAUGUCAUGUCCCCAGGACCUUAACUAAAACUCUUCUCCCUUCCUUUAUGGGGGGAAAUAGGUAGAUUAGAGAGGAAUUGAGUGGAUUUUCAUAGAAGCUUUGAGAUGGGGUUUGGAAAAUGAGGUCUGCAGACCGUGUAUCUCUUUUUUUUUCAACAGCAUUAUCUGGAUCACUUUCAUUGAGAAAUGAUGCAGUACAGUCAAUGAAAUAGUUGCUGUGAAAAACAAUUUUCCUGGUAAGUAUGAAGAGGACCUGUCUGAUCACCUCAGUCUUGAUAAUGUUUCACUUUUCCUUAUUCCUCCACCUUUCUUUCCCCUCCCAUUUUUCAGGCUAAAAUUCCUGAGACCAUAAACCUCAAUCACUCUCUUGGCUUAGUGUAUUUCCACAGUGGAAGAUGUUCACGCUUGAUGGGCUCUGGCAAAGCCCUGUGGCUCUAGGCAGACUUCUAACCCAAAAGGGGAGAGGGGUUCUUUCCUGGUACUGCCAUCUUUUCUCACUUCUCUUUCCCCUCUCUCUGGCCAAGUGAUAGAAAUUGUUCAGUGUAGGAUGUGCCACCUCCAGUUCCCAGGAGAAAAGUGCUCCAGAGGAAGAGGAAUAUGCACAGCAACAACAGAAGAGGCCUGCAUGGUUGGAAGGAUGUUCAAAAGUAAGUUGUGCAUUGGGGAAAAGAAGAAUGGGCAGAGGAAGUAUACAGGGACAUAUCAGCCACGGGAGAGACCUUACUUUACUUUUACUAUAGGCAGUCUCAUACCUGGGAUGGCUGAUUCCUUCAUCCCCAUCAUAUGCCGUAAUGAAAAUUAGAUGGAGGUGGCCACUAAGGAGGGUGGGGGCCUACAGCUAAGGGAUUAGUAUUUUGAGAAGCC
Molecule: small RNA, 1071 nt
Filed under: Pan troglodytes (chimpanzee)
Lineage: Eukaryota; Metazoa; Chordata; Mammalia; Primates; Hominidae
Description: retained intron
Source: RNAcentral